UAUUAAAAGAUAACAUAAGGUUGCCGUCUUCCUUCAUUUGUAUAACUGGUUACGUAAAUUACAAGGCAUAACAUAUGCAAAAUUACUACUGAAAAUAUUUGUUUCAGCUGCACUGAAAGUAUUUGCUAUGUAUAAGUGCAUCCAAGUGACACAUUACAAUUACUGUACAAUUAAAAAAAAAUAUUUGAAAUAUUUCGUAAAAAAGCACAUUAUGAAAUACAGUAAGCUGAUCAUAUUGACCCAGGUCAGCAUCAUACGAUGCACCACACUAUAUACAAUACAGUAGGCUGAUCGUACUGACCCAGGUCAGCAUCAUACGAUGCACCACACUAUAUACAA
Molecule: non-coding RNA, 339 nt
Organism: Procambarus clarkii (red swamp crayfish)
Lineage: Eukaryota; Metazoa; Arthropoda; Malacostraca; Decapoda; Cambaridae
Source: RefSeq, a predicted model, not a curated record